UACUAUAGCUUGACACUGAACAUUGAGCCUUGAUGUGUAGGAUAGGUGGGAGGCUUUGAAGUGUGGACGCCAGUCUGCAUGGAGCCGACCUUGAAAUACCACCCUUUAAUGUUUGAUGUUCUAACGUGGACCCGUAAUCCGGGUUGCGGACAGUGUCUGGUGGGUAGUUUGACUGGGGCGGUCUCCUCCUAAAGAGUAACGGAGGAGCACGAAGGUUGGCUAAUCCUGGUCGGACAUCAGGAGGUUAGUGCAAUGGCAUAAGCCAGCUUGACUGCGAGCGUGACGGCGCGAGCAGGUGCGAAAGCAGGUCAUAGUGAUCCGGUGGUUCUGAAUGGAAGGGCCAUCGCUCAACGGAUAAAAGGUACUCCGGGGAUAACAGGCUGAUACCGCCCAAGAGUUCAUAUCGACGGCGGUGUUUGGCACCUCGAUGUCGGCUCAUCACAUCCUGGGGCUGAAGUAGGUCCCAAGGGUAUGGCUGUUCGCCAUUUAAAGUGGUACGCGAGCUGGGUUUAGAACGUCGUGAGACAGUUCGGUCCCUAUCUGCCGUGGGCGCUGGAGAAUUGAGGGGGGCUGCUCCUAGUACGAGAGGACCGGAGUGGACGCAUCACUGGUGUUCGGGUUGUCAUGCCAAUGGCACUGCCCGGUAGCUAAAUGCGGAAGAGAUAAGUGCUGAAAGCAUCUAAGCACGAAACUUGCCCCGAGAUGAGUUCUCCCUGACUCCUUGAGAGUCCUGAAGGAACGUUGAAGACGACGACGUUGAUAGGCCGGGUGUGUAAGCGCAGCGAUGCGUUGAGCUAACCGGUACUAAUGAACCGUGAGGCUUAACCUUACAACGCCGAAGGUGUUU
RNAcentral lists this ribosomal RNA (847 nucleotides) under Escherichia coli. RNAcentral's name for it is "partial 23S ribosomal RNA". It matches the Rfam family "Bacterial large subunit ribosomal RNA", at positions 2102 to 2925 of the family's 2925-position model. The record is from RNAcentral. Lineage: Bacteria; Pseudomonadati; Pseudomonadota; Gammaproteobacteria; Enterobacterales; Enterobacteriaceae.